AACGAACGCUGGCGGCAUGCCUAACACAUGCAAGUCGAACGAGACCUUCGUGUCUAGUGGCGCACGGGUGCGUAACGCGUGGGAACCUGCCCUUAGGUUCGGAAUAACUCCCCGAAAGGGGUGCUAAUACCGGAUAAUUUCUUCGGACCAAAGAUUUAUCGCCUUUGGAUGGGCCCGCGUUGGAUUAGCUUGUUGGUAGGGUAAAAGCCUACCAAGGCGACGAUCCAUAGCUGGUCUGAGAGGAUGAUCAGCCACACUGGGACUGAGACACGGCCCAGACUCCUACGGGAGGCAGCAGUGGGGAAUAUUGGACAAUGGGCGAAAGCCUGAUCCAGCAAUGCCGCGUGAGUGAUGAAGGCCUUAGGGUUGUAAAGCUCUUUUACCCGGGAUGAUAAUGACAGUACCGGGAGAAUAAGCUCCGGCUAACUCCGUG
This 433-nucleotide ribosomal RNA is filed under the name uncultured bacterium. RNAcentral's name for it is "partial 16S ribosomal RNA". It matches the Rfam family "Bacterial small subunit ribosomal RNA", at positions 29 to 507 of the family's 1533-position model. The record is from RNAcentral.